Prunus dulcis (almond) is the source of this 2110-nucleotide long non-coding RNA. RefSeq lists it as uncharacterized. The transcript has 6 exons. The record is from RefSeq and is a predicted model, not a curated record. Lineage: Eukaryota; Viridiplantae; Streptophyta; Magnoliopsida; Rosales; Rosaceae.
UUCGUUUCCACAGAAAUAUCGUCCGCUUCGAACCAGCUUGGUUAGGCUAUUUGGGGGCAGCCAUGGGAUGCACGGAUUCGGUCUUCGGCAUUUGGGGCCGUCGAUUUCCAUUUGGGCUGGCGCCUUGCGAAUCUCACCGUUCGUUUGGUCUUCAUCGCAUCUCAUCUGUUCAUUCGUUGGUUCAACCAUCUUUCAUCCUCUGUCCAACGUUCGUCUGAGAGAUUUUCGAUCUGCUAGUUCUUCCAUUGCUGAUGGGUUUCUGAGCAUACUGUUGAAUCCUCGAUUCCUUGCCCAAAUUGAUUCCAUAGUUUUUAUUCUUUGAGUUUAGCAUUGAUGCUGCGUUUUUGGUGGUGUAGGGUUAUGAGAGAGAAUUUUCAAAUCUUUGAUGACAACGACAAUGCAGAGAUAGUUGUUUUGUGAUUUUGAUUGUUUAGAGGGUGACUUUUGCAUAGGAAGUAUUGAAGGAUGUGUCGAUUUGGGAGAGAAGAAUUAUAAGUGCAUUUACUGUGGUGCACUUUUUUGGUUAAAAGAAUCCAUUCAGCAGCAAGAAGAAGCGUGUAAGCAAGCAACUGCCCAAAUAUAUUUCUCUCUCUCUCUCUCUCUCGAUUUUGCAAGGAUCUCCUAAAUACUUGGAGAAGACUGAGAAUUCCACAAAGCAUCGCAAUUCUAACGACACUUGGCUGCUCACUUUAAAGAACAGUUUGUGGGUAUGGAAGUACUCUCAUACAGUUCUGCACCAUGCUAUGAUACUUUAUUAGUCUCAUGCAAUAAAAGGUAAAGUCAAAUUGUUGUUGAAUCCCUGUUUUGAUUGGUCAUUGUAGAACAGUUUGUGGGUAUGGAAGUACUCUCAUACAGUUCUGCACCAUGCUAUGAUACUUUUAAUUUAAGGUGGAAAUUGAUUGUGAAAAGCUCAAGUUCACAUCAAUUCAGUCUCCUAGGUUUUAGAAAAAACAGAGUUUUUGGUGCUAAAUUUGAUGUUAGAAAGAAGUUUUUGAGCUGUUACAAUUUAGAUCAGCCUUUCUUGAAGCAACUAAAUCACCAAGGAGGUUUUAGGUCAUUAGACACCGGUGAAAACUUCAAACAUGUUGGUCCAAUUUUAUCAAGUGGAAGCUCUGAUGGCUACGUAAUUAAAAGGGAAGAGAAUGAAAGUAUUUCAGAAAUAGGGGAACCAGUAACUAAAGUUUUGAUUCCUGGUCUACCAGAUGAAUCCAAAGGUGAAUCAGGUGCGCCAGUAAAUAGUUGCUUUUGGGAAUGGAAGCCCGAAUUCAGUGUGCAUUAUGAGAAAGCUGGAUGUGAAACCUUAGGCUCCCUUCCAGUGCUGUUUCUGCCUGGUUUUGGGGUUGGUUCCUUUCACUAUGAGAAGCAACUGAAGGAGUUGGGGCUUGAUUUUAGAGUACGGGCUAAGCAGCUGAAUGGAUGGUGUGUAUAUCUAUAUUUGGAUGGUAUGUACUUGGAUUCAUUGAAACAAUUGAGAUUGAGUGCUUAUAUCUUAGCAGCUGACUUUGAGCCUUAAAAUUUUCAGAUAUUUAUGAUGACCCAUUCUUGGGCCCAUUGCAAUAAUUGAGAUUUGAGUGCUUAGGUCUAAGCAGCUGAAUUUGAGUCAUUAAUUUUUCAGAUGUGUAUGAUUUUGAUUGUUCCGUCAGGUUUCUUUAUUAGUUAUUUUCCCCUAAUCACAAUUGUUUCACUUCCAGAAACUAAUGGCAUCAUUCGUUCAUUUUGCAAGAUUGGUGUAUACUAUGGUACUCCACAAGCGACAUUUGGAGGAAUUGCAUUAAAAUUCUUUGCCUCAGUUCGGCUUGAAAUAUGUUCUACAGGGAAGAUAAAGUCUGUAAAUGGAGAGGAAGUAAUUGGAGUUCGGGUUCAUGUAAGAGUGCAAAAGAGCAAGAUGUUAACCGUGUACGAGAGAGUCAAGAAGAGGCGGUGAGUAGAAGGAGGUUCUUUGCAGGCUAGACAAGGUUGAAAAUGGUUUUUUUUUUUCUCUCCCUAUUUUCCUUCAAAACUUUUUGUUCACUUAUUCUCCUUGAAUUUUAUGUUCAAAGUAGUUAAAUUUUCGUCCAAAAUGUUUUAUUUGUGUUUCUUGAUUUGAAUGAAAGUUUGGUAUUUCAUCCUU